RNAcentral lists this ribosomal RNA (490 nucleotides) under uncultured bacterium. RNAcentral's name for it is "partial 16S ribosomal RNA". It matches the Rfam family "Bacterial small subunit ribosomal RNA", at positions 29 to 505 of the family's 1533-position model. The record is from RNAcentral.
AGUGAACGCUGGCGGUAGGCCUAACACAUGCAAGUCGAACGGCAGCACAGUAAGAGCUUGCUCUUACGGGUGGCGAGUGGCGGACGGGUGAGGAAUACAUCGGAAUCUACUUUUUCGUGGGGGAUAACGUAGGGAAACUUACGCUAAUACCGCAUACGACCUACGGGUGAAAGCAGGGGAUCUUCGGACCUUGCGCGAUUGAAUGAGCCGAUGUCGGAUUAGCUAGUUGGCGGGGUAAAGGCCCACCAAGGCGACGAUCCGUAGCUGGUCUGAGAGGAUGAGCAGGCACAAGGGAACUGAGACACGGGCCAGACUCCUACGGGGGGCAGCAGUGGGGAAUAUUGGAAAAGGGGCGAAAGCCUGAUCAAGCCAUGCCGCGUGGGUGAAGAAGGCCGUGGGGUUGAAAAGCCCUUUUGUUGGGAAAGAAAAGAAGCAGGUUAAUACCCCGCUGUUCUGACGGUACCCAAAGAAUAGGCACCGGCUAACGUCG